CCUCUCAGGAAAGCUUUUUGCUCGAAUUAUGUUUCUCAUCCAAAUAUAAGACGAACAAAAGGUUUGUCUGAGGGCUG
Molecule: microRNA precursor, 77 nt
Organism: Cavia porcellus (domestic guinea pig)
Lineage: Eukaryota; Metazoa; Chordata; Mammalia; Rodentia; Caviidae
Gene: MIR208B
Product: microRNA 208b
Source: Ensembl